UUACUAGUAAUCGCAGAUCAGAAUGCUGCGGUGAAUGCGUUCCCGGGUCUUGUACACACCGCCCGUCACACCACGGGAGUUGGAGACGCCCGAAGCCGAUUAUCUAACCUUUUGGAAGAAGUCGUCGAAGGUGGAAUCAAUAACUGGGGUGAAGUCGUAACAAGGUAGCCGUAUCGGAAGGUGCGGCUGGAUCACCUCCUUUCUAAGGAGA
This 211-nucleotide ribosomal RNA is filed under the name Clostridioides difficile. RNAcentral describes it as "partial 16S ribosomal RNA". It matches the Rfam family "Bacterial small subunit ribosomal RNA", at positions 1332 to 1533 of the family's 1533-position model. Lineage: Bacteria; Bacillati; Bacillota; Clostridia; Peptostreptococcales; Peptostreptococcaceae. The record is from RNAcentral.